CCUACGGGAGGCAGCAGUGAGGAAUAUUGGUCAAUGGACGAGAGUCUGAACCAGCCAAGUAGCGUGAAGGAUGACUGCCCUAUGGGUUGUAAACUUCUUUUAUAUGGGAAUAAAACGUUCCACGUGUGGGAUUUUGUAUGUACCAUAUGCAUAAGGAUCGGCUAACUCCGUGCCAGCAGCCGCGGUAAUACGGAGGAUCCGAGCGUUAUCCGGAUUUAUUGGGUUUAAAGGGAGCGUAGGGGGAUUGUUAAGUCAGUUGUGAAAGUUUGCGGCUCAACCGUAAAAUUGCAGUUGAAACUGGCAGUCUUGAGUACAGUAGAGGUGGGCGGAAUUCGUGGUGUAGCGGUGAAAUGCUUAGAUAUCACGAAGAACUCCGAUGGCGAAGGCAGUUCACUGGACUGCAACUGACACUGAGGCUCGAAAGUGUGGGUAUCAAACAGGAUUAGAUACCCUAGUAGUC
Molecule: ribosomal RNA, 460 nt
Filed under: uncultured bacterium
Lineage: Bacteria
Description: partial 16S ribosomal RNA
Rfam family: Bacterial small subunit ribosomal RNA
Source: RNAcentral